This 1417-nucleotide small RNA is filed under the name Malus domestica (apple). RNAcentral's name for it is "sRNA MD17G0148200". The record is from RNAcentral. Lineage: Eukaryota; Viridiplantae; Streptophyta; Magnoliopsida; Rosales; Rosaceae.
UUGUGCUACUAACCCUAGGUGUUUCUUUACUUCUCCGCCAGUGUUUCUCCCCGCGCCUCCCUCUCCCUCUCCCUCACUCUCACUUCUCUGUCUGUGUUUCUCCCGCCGUCUCCCUCUCACAGCCCCGCAGCCUCGCCGUCUAGACAGUCGGACUCGACACUUGACAGCCAUCGCAAAGAUGAAGUCAAAUGCGAUGAAGUCAAAUGUAUUGAAGUCAAAUGCCUCAAGCUCAAACUCAAACUCAAUGAGAUAAAAUGGCUCUCAUGAAAAACCAAACUCAUCUACUUCUACUCCAUCACAAGACGUUGAUGGUGAAUCAACUCUGCCUCAAUAUCCAUGGUGGCAUCUCAACAAACUCCUACUAAUCUUUAUGGUGGAUUCGGAACCUCCUUCGAUGCAACUCGAAAAGGUGACUCGACAAAGGAAGAAAAGACGAAGCUCUCUUGGAAUCAUUAAAAACUCAUGAAAGGUGGUAAAAAUCCUUUCAAGAAAUUGGCGCCGUUACUGGGUUUUUGGAUAGCAAAGAAGUUAUGGCCUUUGUUCUACCAAUAGCGGGACAACCACUGAAGGAAUCCCUGGCAGCUCAUGCCACAGAAGUGCCAAGCUACAUUACCUAUCCUGAAGUUGAAGAUGGGUCCACGUUUGAGAUACGACAUCAUAUGUUAGAGAUUCUACCUUCCUUUCACAGUUUAUCAACAGAUGAUCCUAACAUGCAUCUAACCGAAUUUCUAAUUGGAUGCAAAAAUAUUUUGGUGAAAGGAUUUUCAGCAGAAUGUAUCAAACUUAGACUUUUUCCUUACACCUUGAAGGAUGGCGCAAGGAGAUGGUCACACUUCCAUCUGGAAGCAUUACUUCGUGGAACCAACUCAGUCUUGCGUUUUUAAGCAAAUACUACCUAGCUUAAAAAACACUUGAUAUGAGCACUCAAAUUUUAACAUUUGCUCAGAAACCGAAUGAAGCAAUUCAUGAAGCAUGGGAACGUUACAAGGAUCUGCUCAGGAAAUGUCCACAUUCAGGCAUUAAUGGUGACACUCAAAUGAAUUUAUUUUACAGAGGGCUGAAUUUGACUACUAAGACUGUUGUUAAUGCUUCUUGUGGAGGAACAUAUUCAGAAAAAAAUGCACUGCAAGUGUAUCAAUUGUUUGAGAGCAUGGCGACAAAAUCUCAACAAUGGGCAGUUGAUAUACCUCAGACCAAGGGUGUUUUUGAGAUGUCCAGUGGCGUACCUCAUGUACCUGCACAAAUAGAAAAGAUGGAGAAAAAGUUAGAAAAUUUUGAUGCAAAAUUUGGCAUUCUUUUACAAAGAAUGGCAGCACUUGUGUAGCAGGUUGCUAUCUAGCAGGCUACUGCAGCCACAUACCAUUUAUGGCAUCACAACACAUGAUUUAUGGGCUGCCCACAUAGGGAUGCAUAUCUG